GGAAUGGGAAGCGAAGCCCCAAGAUGGGCGGAGGGGAGCAGGUGCGGGGGGCAUGGAAGAGAGCCCACAAGCAGGUGGGACAGCAAGGUGGCUCCCGUCUCCUGGUAGGACAUUUUAGCAAUCACACGUGCUGCCUUGUGUCCCUUAAGGAGAGGACUCUACUGGCCACAGCCCCACCUCUGUGAACCAGAACAGCCUGAGUCGUCACUGGAUCCUGCUGCUGACAGUGCUGGUAGCUGAAGGCUUCAGCAGCUGCCUGGCCUCUUUUCCAUCUCCUGGCCUACCCUGGCAGAACCAGGGAUAUAAAACGCAAGCUUCUGGUCAGAGAUGAGAGGCAAGCAGAGCAAGCCAGGCCCCGAGCCACCCAGCACCAUCCAGAAAGAAGGAGCAGCCUGCUGGGGGUUUUGUUUUGCCAGAAGUGGCCUGCUUAAGCCCAAUCCUGUCCCGCCCAGGGGACGCAGCCUGGUGGACCCAAUGUGACCAGAACAGCUUCUAUCAUUGGGAGCCUCUGGACUGCUUCUCUCCUCAAAGCUCCUGGUCCUCAUGCCAGAAAAGAGAAGCCAAGAGGAAGAAUUUUAGGGGAGCACCCGGACGCAUCAACAGAAGAAGAGAGGCAGGGAGAGCUGCUAAAUAAAGCCCAUGCAUGCAUUUUCUCACCCGUAGCCAGAAUAAAAGCAAGGAAAGCA
Hyaena hyaena (striped hyena) is the source of this 686-nucleotide long non-coding RNA. RefSeq lists it as uncharacterized. The record is from RefSeq and is a predicted model, not a curated record. NCBI's taxonomy places the organism in Eukaryota, Metazoa, Chordata, Mammalia, Carnivora, Hyaenidae. The transcript is spliced from 3 exons.